Molecule: non-coding RNA, 730 nt
Organism: Solanum lycopersicum (tomato)
Lineage: Eukaryota; Viridiplantae; Streptophyta; Magnoliopsida; Solanales; Solanaceae
Source: RefSeq, a predicted model, not a curated record
AUUGCUAAUAUUGAGAGGAUUGUAUUAGCUGUAACAAGAGGAGGUUCCUUCAUAGGAUCCACUGUACUGACAAAGACAUCUACCGGGGCUAGCAUAUUUGGUUCUCCUUCCCUCUCAUACCUACAUCAAAAUUUUGCUCUUGUACAGAAGAUUUUGUGAAAACAAGGUGUAUGUUGGAAAUUAACUUGACAACUCUAUUGGCUUUAUGUCCAUGCUUAAGGAUUAACUUCUUUUUAGUAUUAGGAGCACAGACUUGCAAAGAAUUGUCACCUGAGAGAGAGACGAUCAAGGUAAGUCUCACGGUCGAUAGGGAACCAUUUGGGAAACUGAUCAAGGAUCCAAGAGAAGGCAAACCAGAUCUCACAGAUGAUAGAAGUUAACCAGAGACCAAUCGCAUCAUGCACUGGAUUCAGAAUUCUAUAACGAAGGAAGACGGCCAGAAUCACCAGCCUAGCUACAAUCACCAUCCGGUAAGGAUUGAUCUUGCUUGAUGCUAUUGGCACUUUUCUUGAUAAAGGCUGUCUUGCUUCAUCCACCCUGCAUUUUCUCACAUCGAUUAGCUGAGAGCAUGUUGCACUUUGUAUUAACUAUUUUAAGCAUCGAAUUUAUGUGUUUGAGAAGAAAUCACUGCAAUCAAGUGAAUCUGAUAGUUAUUAGUAAUAGCUAUACCCAAAAAAAUUUCUAACUAUACAUUUCUGUAUAUCUACAAGUGCAUUCUCAUUUUCACUAA